ACAGGCUUUGCCGUCCACCAUCCCCUCCCUUACUGCAGUGGCCUGUGUGAUCCCAGGAUGUCCUUGAAGGAAGAUGUUAUCUGACCUGUGAAAUGAAUAGUGUUUCCACAAGAAUUGAACCAACUUUCCCUUAAGUUUAUUAGCCAGGAUAAUUGUAAAGCUCUUUUGUUCAUACAUGUUGAUGUAACAAUGAAAUUAGCCCUUCGAUUGCUACUUUCUUUGUGGCAAUUUGCAUAGCAUUACCAAUAAAGUGACUUUACUUGUGGAGCCAUCUCUUUGGCAGUCAACUCAGUCUAAUUAGAUUUUUCUCCUAGGAAAACUGUCAGUCUUUAUUACUAAGUAAUUAGUCCACAAUGGAAUAUUAAAUAUUUUUAGAAAUCAUCCACAUGACUUCUU
Molecule: long non-coding RNA, 396 nt
Filed under: Pan troglodytes (chimpanzee)
Lineage: Eukaryota; Metazoa; Chordata; Mammalia; Primates; Hominidae
Description: long non-coding RNA NONPTRT007829
Source: RNAcentral